This 80-nucleotide non-coding RNA is filed under the name Treponema sp. Lineage: Bacteria; Pseudomonadati; Spirochaetota; Spirochaetia; Treponematales; Treponemataceae. The record is from RNAcentral.
UAGCGAAACGGCGAGCCGAUCCUCCCAUCGGUUCGCCGUAUUCCGCGCGUGGCGGCGCGGAACUGAAGAGCCAGCCAAAG